UAUUCCUGCUCGGCCUGCAGGAACACGUCACCGUAGGUCACCUUGUCGGCGCCGUCGCGGCCGUUGAAGUUGAGAUCGUAGACGUUGUCGACACCCUGCACGUACAUCGCGAGGCGCUCGAGACCGUAGGUCAGUUCGCCCGCGACCGGCGCGCAUUCCACGCCCGCGACCUGCUGGAAGUAGGGGAAUUGCGAGACUUCCAUGCCGUCGCACCAGCACUCCCAGCCGAGACCCCAGGCGCCGAGCGUCGGGCUUUCCCAGUCGUCCUCGACGAAACGCAC
RNAcentral lists this unclassified non-coding RNA (281 nucleotides) under Hevea brasiliensis (rubber tree). Lineage: Eukaryota; Viridiplantae; Streptophyta; Magnoliopsida; Malpighiales; Euphorbiaceae. The record is from RNAcentral.